UCAUCAUGCCCUUAUGUCCUGGGCUACACACGUGCUACAAUGGUUGGUACAGAGGGAAGCUAUAUAGUGAUAUAAUGCAAAACUCCAAAGCCAAUCCCAGUUCGGAUUGUAGGCUGCAACUCGCCUACAUGAAGUCGGAGUUGCUAGUAAUCGCGGAUCAGAAUGUCGCGGUGAAUGCGUUCCCGGGUCUUGUACACACCGCCCGUCACACCAUGGGAGUUGAUAAUACCCGAAGCCUGUGACCUAAUUGAGGAGCAGUCAAGGUAGGAUUGAUGACUGGGGUGAAGUCGUAACAAGGUAGCCGUAUCGGAA
RNAcentral lists this ribosomal RNA (312 nucleotides) under uncultured bacterium. Its description in RNAcentral is "bacterial SSU rRNA". It matches the Rfam family "Bacterial small subunit ribosomal RNA", at positions 1190 to 1510 of the family's 1533-position model. The record is from RNAcentral.